Molecule: ribosomal RNA, 402 nt
Filed under: uncultured bacterium
Lineage: Bacteria
Description: bacterial SSU rRNA
Rfam family: Bacterial small subunit ribosomal RNA
Source: RNAcentral
UGGGGAAUAUUGGACAAUGGGGGCAACCCUGAUCCAGCCAUGCCGCGUGAGUGAUGAAGGCCUUCGGGUUGUAAAGCUCUUUUGGCGGGGAAGAUAAUGACGGAACCCGUAGAAUAAGCCCCGGCUAACUUCGUGCCAGCAGCCGCGGUAAUACGAAGGGGGCUAGCGUUGCUCGGAAUUACUGGGCGUAAAGCGCCCGUAGGCGGACCGAUAAGUCGGGGGUGAAAUCCUGGAGCUCAACUCCAGAACUGCCUUCGAAACUGCCGGUCUUGAGUUCGGGAGAGGUGAGUGGAACUGCGAGUGUAGAGGUGAAAUUCGUAGAUAUUCGCAAGAACACCAGUGGCGAAGGCGGCUCACUGGCCCGAUACUGACGCUGAGGUGCGAAAGCGUGGGGAGCAAACA